This 401-nucleotide ribosomal RNA is filed under the name Klebsiella quasipneumoniae subsp. quasipneumoniae. Its description in RNAcentral is "bacterial SSU rRNA". It matches the Rfam family "Bacterial small subunit ribosomal RNA", at positions 55 to 454 of the family's 1533-position model. The record is from RNAcentral. Lineage: Bacteria; Pseudomonadati; Pseudomonadota; Gammaproteobacteria; Enterobacterales; Enterobacteriaceae.
AUGCAAGUCGAGCGGUAGCACAGAGAGCUUGCUCUCGGGUGACGAGCGGCGGACGGGUGAGUAAUGUCUGGGAAACUGCCUGAUGGAGGGGGAUAACUACUGGAAACGGUAGCUAAUACCGCAUGAUGUCGCAAGACCAAAGUGGGGGACCUUCGGGCCUCAUGCCAUCAGAUGUGCCCAGAUGGGAUUAGCUAGUAGGUGGGGUAACGGCUCACCUAGGCGACGAUCCCUAGCUGGUCUGAGAGGAUGACCAGCCACACUGGAACUGAGACACGGUCCAGACUCCUACGGGAGGCAGCAGUGGGGAAUAUUGCACAAUGGGCGCAAGCCUGAUGCAGCCAUGCCGCGUGUGUGAAGAAGGCCUUCGGGUUGUAAAGCACUUUCAGCGGGGAGGAAGGCGA